GACGGAGGGUGCAAGCGUUGUCCGGAUUUAUUGGGUUUAAAGGGUGCGUAGGCGGGUUAUUAAGUCAGUGGUUCAAGUCUGCGGCUCAACCGCAGGAGUGCCAUUGAUACUGGUAGUCUUGAGUACAGUAGAGGUAGGCGGAAUUUAUGGUGUAGCGGUGAAAUGCAUAGAUACCAUAAAGAACACCGAUAGCGUAGGCAGCUUACUAUGCUGUAACUGACGCUGAGGCACGAAAGCGUGGGGAUCGAACAGG
Molecule: ribosomal RNA, 253 nt
Filed under: uncultured bacterium
Lineage: Bacteria
Description: partial 16S ribosomal RNA
Rfam family: Bacterial small subunit ribosomal RNA
Source: RNAcentral